AUAUGUUUGGUAUGUUAUGAACAUUCAAGCCAGGAGCCUGUUAUUCAGUGGUUGCCGUUUGUUUAUUGUGUUAAUUAUUUGUUUUUCGUUCAUUUUUUGUACAUAAAUAAGGCCACUAGUUUUCUCGUUUGAAUUGUUUUACAUUGUCAUUUCGGGGCCUUUUAUAGCUGACUAUGCGGUAUGGGCUUUGUUCAUUGUGUAAGGCCGUACAGUGACCUAUAGUUGUUAAUUUCUG
RNAcentral lists this long non-coding RNA (235 nucleotides) under Mytilus galloprovincialis (Mediterranean mussel). Lineage: Eukaryota; Metazoa; Mollusca; Bivalvia; Mytilida; Mytilidae. The record is from RNAcentral.